GAGUUUGAUCCUGGCUCAGGACGAACGCUGGCGGCACGCUUAACACAUGCAAGUCGAACGGAGAUUAUUUGAGUUUACUUAGGUAAUCUUAGUGGCGGACGGGUGAGUAACACGUGAGCAACCUACCUUUGAGAGAGGGAUAGCUUCUGGAAACGGAUGGUAAUACCUCAUAACAUAAUGGUACCGCAUGAUACUAUUAUCAAAGAUUUAUCACUCAAAGAUGGGCUCGCGUCUGAUUAGAUAGUUGGUGAGGUAACGGCUCACCAAGUCGACGAUCAGUAGCCGGACUGAGAGGUUGAACGGCCACAUUGGGACUGAGACACGGCCCAGACUCCUACGGGAGGCAGCAGUGGGGAAUAUUGCACAAUGGGGGAAACCCUGAUGCAGCGAUGCCGCGUGGAGGAAGAAGGUUUUCGGAUUGUAAACUCCUGUCUUAAAGGACGAUAAUGACGGUACUUUAGGAGGAAGCUCCGGCUAACUACGUGCCAGCAGCCGCGGUAAUACGUAGGGAGCGAGCGUUGUCCGGAAUUACUGGGUGUAAAGGGAGCGUAGGCGGGAGUGCAAGUCAGAUGUGAAAUACAUGGGCUCAACCCAUGGGCUGCAUUUGAAAACUGCAUUUCUUGAGUGAAGUAGAGGUAAGCGGAAUUCCUGGUGUAGCGGUGAAAAUGCGUAGA
RNAcentral lists this ribosomal RNA (674 nucleotides) under uncultured bacterium. RNAcentral describes it as "bacterial SSU rRNA". It matches the Rfam family "Bacterial small subunit ribosomal RNA", at positions 9 to 694 of the family's 1533-position model. The record is from RNAcentral.